Molecule: non-coding RNA, 1349 nt
Organism: Cyanistes caeruleus (blue tit)
Lineage: Eukaryota; Metazoa; Chordata; Aves; Passeriformes; Paridae
Source: RefSeq, a predicted model, not a curated record
CACAUGGUGAAGUCAUGGCAAAUUACCAGGAACUCAUUUGAUGUGGCUGCUCUCCAAGAGUUCAGAGUAGAUCAACUAAAACCAUUAACUUUCAAAAUAUAAUUAGUCCAACCAUAUUUUUUUCCUAGAUGAAGGAUGGGAAAAAGCCCAGCUAUAAUUCUUGGUGCACUGAAACAAGAUGUGUAAAGAGAGAAACUUAUAACCUGGGGCUUGUUUAUAUCCUUGGACUAUCAUGAUGACAACAGCACUGUUGCCUGUUGUAUUUGUCUCUCAAGAAUUGGACUGGAAGGAGAAGAAGGCAGUGAGGAUAACUGAGGAAUAAAAUCAUUCCCUCAGUCACAGGAGGCUUCUUGCAAAGCUGGAUUUAGGAUGUGAGAACACGUCAAGGACAGUUGAGGACAAGCAUAAGACAGUUAAAACUCAUAUAAUGCAAAGAAGAUGAAGUGGAACAAGGAUUGCAAAUUGUGUGACAAGAUUGUUAUCCAGUGGCCUAAACCCAAGCAAAACAAAACAUUUCCUGUUCUGUCACAAGACUCUGCUUCAAUAAAUCCAUAACAGCUCUUCCAUUACUAUGUUCACAGAAAGAAUUAGCCAAAUUCAUGGGUCCAUCCACUGGUAAAGGCACUGGCUGAACUGCAUCCUUCCAGAUAAGGAUGCUGGUACCUAUUUAUUUCUAAAAACUAUAAGGAUGUGCCAUGGAAACAACUCCCUUGUUUCCAGCACCAUUUUUCCCAGGCAUCCAUUAUGAGACACUGGGGAGACAUCAGGAUUCUGAGCUAGACAGACUUUUGAUCUAAGCCAGCAGGACAGGGGAGCACCCCACUGUCAUGCAUCCUACACUGAGUCUAGUCCUGAACCCUCAGACUAUAUCCUUUUCCUAAGGAGAACAGAAGUUGAUCAAAACUGACUUUGUCAGUUUGAAUUUUUAGUACAGUUUCUUCUGCUGCUUUGCCUUGUUCAUCAACAUGAACAUCUUGUUCAUCAAUGAUCUGUUCCAAAUCCUUUUGAAGGAAGAAUUUCUCGAAAAUAAUUAGAUUCAAUUCCUUUGUAGAGAUCUAUUAUGAGACCAACAGAGUAUUAAAUUUCAUCCUUGGGAUCUGGUCUAUUUCUUCCAAAUCAGCUUUUAUAUUCUUGUUUUGCUGCUGAUGAACUGACUGACCUUGGAUAAGCCAUGAAAUAAGCCCAACAGCAACACUCACCCGCAUAUAUGAUGAUAUCACAUUUUUAUAUGAGAGGGAAUGGACUUUUUCAAUCACUAACCUAUAGGAAGGGUGAAGUAUCAUGUUUGAUUUCAACAGUUUGUAAGUGUGAGUAGCACUGAAAAUAAUUUCACAGCUAUAUCAUAUGUA